RNAcentral lists this ribosomal RNA (585 nucleotides) under Symmetrospora foliicola. RNAcentral's name for it is "eukaryotic LSU rRNA". It matches the Rfam family "Eukaryotic large subunit ribosomal RNA", at positions 97 to 669 of the family's 3401-position model. The record is from RNAcentral. Lineage: Eukaryota; Fungi; Basidiomycota; Cystobasidiomycetes; Symmetrosporaceae.
GAGUGGGAAAGCUCAACUUUAAAAUCUGGCAGCUUCGCUGUCCGAGUUGUAGUCUCGAGAAGUGUUUUCCGCGCUGGAUCGUGUAUGAGUCUGUUGGAAUACAGCGUCAUAGAGGGUGAGAACCCCGUUCAUGACACGACUACCAGUGCUUUGUGAUACACUUUCGAUGAGUCGAGUUGUUUGGGAAUGCAGCUCAAAAUGGGUGGUAAAUUCCAUCUAAAGCUAAAUAUUGGCGAGAGACCGAUAGCAAACAAGUACCGUGAGGGAAAGAUGAAAAGCACUUUGGAAAGAGAGUUAACAGUACGUGAAAUUGUCUAAAGGGAAACGCUUGAAGUCAGACGUGCGCGGUGCGAUUCAGCCUUGGUUCGCCAGGGUGUACUUCGUACCAUUGCAGGCCAGCAUCGGUUUUGCGAGCCGGAUAAAGGUUACAGAAAGGUASCGGCCCAAGCCGUGUUAUAGUCUCAAACUGAAUACUGAUUGUGAGACCGAGGGACUCASCGCGCCGCAAGGCAAAGGGUUCGCCCUUUUCKCGCUUAUGAUGCUGGWGAAAUGGCUUUAAACUACCCGUCUUGAAACACGGACCAA